This 508-nucleotide ribosomal RNA is filed under the name uncultured bacterium. RNAcentral's name for it is "bacterial SSU rRNA". It matches the Rfam family "Bacterial small subunit ribosomal RNA", at positions 8 to 525 of the family's 1533-position model. The record is from RNAcentral.
AGAGUUCGAUUAUGGCUCAGGACGAACGCUGGCGGUGCGCCUUAUGCAUGCAAGUCGAGCGAAGCUUUUCAGUAGUUUACUACAGAAAAUGACUGAGCGGCGAACGGGUGAGUAACGCGUGAGCAAUCUACCUUAGUUACAGGGAUAGCCCGAGGAAACUCGGAUUAAUACCUGAUAUUCUUUAUAUUUCGCAUGAAAUUAAAAGGAAAGGUCAGCCGAACUAAGAUGAGCUCGCGUUCUAUCAGCUAGUUGGUGAGGUAAAAGCUCACCAAGGCUACGACGGAUAGCUGGUCUGAGAGGACGAUCAGCCACACUGGGACUGAGACACGGCCCAGACUCCUACGGGAGGCUGCAGCAGGGAAUAUUGCGCAAUGAGCGAAAGCUUGACGCAGCGACACCGCGUGUGGGGUGACGGAUCUAGGUUUGUAAACCACUUUCAGGAGGGAAGAAAAUGACGGUACCUCCACAAGAAGCCCCGGCCAACUACGUGCCAGCAGCCGCGGUAAUA